AUUAAUUUAAAAAUCAAGUUUAAAGAUGGACUAUAAACUAAAAUAUGGCUCAGAACACCUUAUCUCAUUUGCUGCAGAAAAACUGGAGCAAAAACAUUUUUUCUAGUAGGAAAAAUGUUGGCAUCCUCUUGUACAUUCGCUGGGAGGCCCUCUAUUCUUAUUUCAAAUUCAGCCAUUCAAUUGAACCAAAAACCAGGGGUUAGGCUUAUCUCUGUUAAGCCUUUCUGUUUCCAUAAUAUCAUCAAGGACAAACAUAGCAUUUCUUUAGAGCAACCCAGAAAACGCCUCCUAGGAAAAACAAAGGUUGCUGAGAGUACUCCUCCAACUAAAGGAAGCAUACUUUGUAAUAAUUGUGACGGAAAUGGAAUGGUGCAAUGUUCACAAUGUGACGGAAAUGGUGUAAAUUCUAUAGACCACUUUAAUGGGCGGUUCAAGGCUGGUGAAAUUUGUUGGCUCUGCAGUUUCAAUGGCUGAUGAAAAAAAUGAUACGUUCUUGAUUAAGACAAUGGCUGCUUCUUGGGCAUCUCUUCAGCACAUAUUUCGAUGUUGUUCUAUAAAGUCUUGAUGAAUUUAAGAGGAUUAGUUGGGAUAGCUGAUGGAUUGGAUUGAUGGAUUGAUGUAAGAGGCGUUCAGAUAUCAUGAAUUUUGAUCUUAGCUGCUGAUGGAUUGAUAUACGAGGCAUUCAGAUAUCAUGAAAUUUAAUUUGAAAUGUUGAUGGGUCAUGGAAUCAAAUCAAAAUGUUGAUAAAAUAAACUCACAUAAUCAAAUUCAAGAACUUCUCAUACUAAUUUCAUAAGCUUUGAAAAAACUUUGUCUUCACUGGAUUUUUCUUUUAUCUUCACUAAAUUUUUCCUCUGUAUAUAUGUUUGAUAUUAUUAUACAGAGGAUUGGUUGAGAUAACUGAUGGGUUAUUAUAAGAGGCAUCCCAUACUAAUUUCAUAAACUCUGGAGAUUCUCUGUCUGCACUGAAUUUUUCUUGUGUUUAUGUGUUUGAAAUAAUUACACAGAGGAUUGGUUGAGAUAGUGAUGGGCUCAUAUGAAAGGCCUUCAGAUAUAUGAAAUUUGAUUGGAAAUUUUGGUUGGUUCACACAAUCAAAUUUAAAAAUGUUGUAUGUUAA
Molecule: RNA transcript, 1118 nt
Organism: Cryptomeria japonica (Japanese cedar)
Lineage: Eukaryota; Viridiplantae; Streptophyta; Pinopsida; Cupressales; Cupressaceae
Gene name: protein BUNDLE SHEATH DEFECTIVE 2, chloroplastic
Exons: 7
Source: RefSeq, a predicted model, not a curated record